Caenorhabditis elegans is the source of this 21-nucleotide non-coding RNA. Lineage: Eukaryota; Metazoa; Nematoda; Chromadorea; Rhabditida; Rhabditidae. The record is from Ensembl.
UUAUCUCUCGAAAUUUAAUGU